This 468-nucleotide ribosomal RNA is filed under the name uncultured bacterium. RNAcentral describes it as "partial 16S ribosomal RNA". It matches the Rfam family "Bacterial small subunit ribosomal RNA", at positions 28 to 507 of the family's 1533-position model. The record is from RNAcentral.
GACGAACGCUGGCGGCGUGCUUAACACAUGCAAGUCGAACGGAAAGGCCCUGCUUUUGUGGGGUGCUCGAGUGGCGAACGGGUGAGUAACACGUGAGUAACCUGCCCUUGACUUUGGGAUAACUUCAGGAAACUGGGGCUAAUACCGGAUAGGAGCUCCUGCUGCAUGGUGGGGGUUGGAAAGUUUCGGCGGUUGGGGAUGGACUCGCGGCUUAUCAGCUUGUUGGUGGGGUAGUGGCUUACCAAGGCUUUGACGGGUAGCCGGCCUGAGAGGGUGACCGGCCACAUUAGGACUGAGCUACGGCCCAGACUACUACGGGAGGCAGGAGUGGGGAAUAGUGCACAAUGGGCGGAAGCCUGAUGCAGCAACGCCGCGUGCGGGAUGACGGCCUGCGGGUUGUAAACCGCUUUCGCCUGUGACGAAGCGUGAGUGACGGUAAUGGGUAAAGAAGCACCGGCUAACUACGUG